RNAcentral lists this ribosomal RNA (321 nucleotides) under uncultured Streptococcus sp. RNAcentral describes it as "bacterial SSU rRNA". It matches the Rfam family "Bacterial small subunit ribosomal RNA", at positions 1057 to 1382 of the family's 1533-position model. The record is from RNAcentral. Lineage: Bacteria; Bacillati; Bacillota; Bacilli; Lactobacillales; Streptococcaceae.
AGCUCGUGUCGUGAGAUGUGGUUAAGUCCGCAACGAGCGCAACCCCUAUUGUUAGUUGCCAUCAUUCAGUUGGGCACUCUAGCGAGACUGCCGGUAAUAAACCGGAGGAAGGUGGGGAUGACGUCAAAUCAUCAUGCCCCUUAUGACCUGGGCUACACACGUGCUACAAUGGUUGGUACAACGAGUUGCGAGUCGGUGACGGCGAGCUAAUCUCUUAAAGCCAAUCUCAGUUCGGAUUGUAGGCUGCAACUCGCCUACAUGAAGUCGGAAUCGCUAGUAAUCGCGGAUCAGCACGCCGCGGUGAAUACGUUCCCGGGCCUU